UAUGGCAAAUGUGAGAUGCAGUGUAUGGAAUGUCAAAUUUCUAGUAUGAGAAAUUAACGAUUUAAGUCCUUCUUAAAUGAGGCCAUUUACCCAAAGAGGGUGCCAGGCCCGUAUAACGUUAAUGAUUACUAGAUGACAUUUCCAAAGAGUCGUGUUGCUUGAUAGUGCAGCACUAAGUGGGUGGUAAACUCCAUCUAAAACUAAAUAUAACCAUGAGACCGAUAGUAAACAAGUACCGUGAGGGAAAGUUGAAAAGAACUCUGAAUAGAGAGUUAAAUAGUACGUGAAACUGCUUAGAGGUUAAGCCCGAUGAACCUGAAUAUCCAUUAUGGAAAAUUCAUCAUUAUGAUUUUAAUAUUAAUAAUAUUAUAAUAAUGGUGUGCAUUUUUUCCAUAUAAGGACAUUGUAAUCUAUUAACAAACAUAUUUAUUAUAAGAUCAUUGCUUUAGUUUAUUCAAAUUAUUUCGCUUGCGAUUUAACAUAGAGUAAAUGCUUUUGAUUUGAUAAAGUGUUGAUAGAUUUAUUGUAUAUAGUGCUUGAAUAUAUUUAUAUAUUCUAUAAUAGCGUAUUGAUCAAUGAUUUUUAUGUUUAUUAUAUGCACUUAUAUGAUUAACAAUGCGAAAGAUUCAGGAUACCUUCGGGACCCGUCUUGAAACACGGACCAAGGAGUCUAACAUAUUUGCAAGUUAUUGGGAAUUAAAAACCUAAUAGCGAAAUUAACAUAACUUAUAUAAUGGGAUUAGUUUUUAGAUCUAUUUAUAGUCUANUAAUUCAAUCCCGGGGCGUUCUAUACAGUUAUGUAUAAUAGUAUUUAUAUUAUUUAUACCUCUAACUAGAGCGUACCUUGAGCAUAUAUGCUGUGACCCGAAAGAUGGUGAACUAUACUUGAUCAGGUUGAAGUCAGGGGAAACCCUGAUGGAAGACCGAAACAGUUCUGACGUGCAAAUCGAUCGUCAGAAU
Molecule: ribosomal RNA, 960 nt
Filed under: Scathophaga tropicalis
Lineage: Eukaryota; Metazoa; Arthropoda; Insecta; Diptera; Scathophagidae
Description: eukaryotic LSU rRNA
Rfam family: Eukaryotic large subunit ribosomal RNA
Source: RNAcentral